This 365-nucleotide RNase P RNA is filed under the name Motilimonas pumila. Its description in RNAcentral is "Bacterial RNase P class A". It matches the Rfam family "Bacterial RNase P class A". Rfam says of the family: Ribonuclease P (RNase P) is a ubiquitous endoribonuclease, found in archaea, bacteria and eukarya as well as chloroplasts and mitochondria. Its best characterised activity is the generation of mature 5'-ends of tRNAs by cleaving the 5'-leader elements of precursor-tRNAs. Lineage: Bacteria; Pseudomonadati; Pseudomonadota; Gammaproteobacteria; Alteromonadales. The record is from Rfam by way of RNAcentral.
UGAGUUGACCAGACCGUCGUCGCUUACCUUCAUUUUGAUAGGUAAGGGGAGGAAAGUCCGGGCUCCACAGGGCAGGGUGCCAGAUAACGUCUGGGGGGCGUGAGCCCACGACAAGUGCAGCAGAGAGAAGACCGCCGAUGACUUCUUCGGAAGAACAGGUAAGGCUGAAAGGGUGCGGUAAGAGCGCACCGCGCAACUGGUAACAGUUUGUGGCGAGGUAAACUCCACCCGGAGCAAGACCAAAUAGGCUUCCUUAAGGUAUGGCCCAUAUCGGAAGCGGGUAGGUUGCUUGAGCCUGUGAGUGAUUGCAGGCCUAGACGAAUGACGGUUCACGACAGAACCCGGCUUAUCGGUCGACUCACCUC